This 467-nucleotide ribosomal RNA is filed under the name uncultured bacterium. RNAcentral's name for it is "partial 16S ribosomal RNA". It matches the Rfam family "Bacterial small subunit ribosomal RNA", at positions 28 to 507 of the family's 1533-position model. The record is from RNAcentral.
GACGAACGCUGGCGGCGUGCUUAACACAUGCAAGUCGAACGGAAAGGCCCUGCUUUUGUGGGGUGCUCGAGUGGCGAACGGGUGAGUAACACGUGAGUAACCUGCCCUUGACUUUGGGAUAACUUCAGGAAACUGGGGCUAAUACCGGAUAGGAGCUCCUGCUGCAUGGUGGGGGUUGGAAAGUUUCGGCGGUUGGGGAUGGACUCGCGGCUUAUCAGCUUGUUGGUGGGGUAGUGGCUUACCAAGGCUUUGACGGGUAGCCGGCCUGAGAGGGUGACCGGCCACAUGGGGACUGAGAUACAGCCCAGACUCCUACGGGAGGCAGCAGUGGGAAAUAUUGCACAAUGGGCGGAAGCCUGAUGCAGCAACGCCGCGUGCGGGAUGACGGCCUUCGGGUUGUAAACCGCUUUCGCCUGUGACGAAGCGUGAGUGACGGUAAUGGGUAAGAAGCACCGGCUAACUACGUG